CCUACGGGUGGCGGCAGUGGGGAAUAGUGGGCAAUGGACGCAAGUCGGACCCAGCAACGCCGCGGGAAGGAAGAAGGCUGUCGGGUUGUAAACGUCGUUUAAGGGGGAAGAGCAGAAGACGGUACCCCUGGAAUAAGCCACGGCUAACGACGUGCCAGCAGCCGCGGUAAUACGUAGGUGGCAAGCGUUGUCCGGAUUUACGGGGUGGAAAGGGCGUGCAGCCGGCGAGACUAGUCAGAUGUGAAAUCCACGGGCUCAACCCAUGAACUGCAUUGGAAACGGUUUCCCUUGAGUGUCGGAGUGUUAAUCGGCAUUCCUCUUGUAGCGGUUCACUGCGUAGCUAUUAG
Molecule: ribosomal RNA, 347 nt
Filed under: uncultured bacterium
Lineage: Bacteria
Description: partial 16S ribosomal RNA
Rfam family: Bacterial small subunit ribosomal RNA
Source: RNAcentral